Eriocheir sinensis (Chinese mitten crab) is the source of this 579-nucleotide long non-coding RNA. RefSeq lists it as uncharacterized. The transcript is spliced from 2 exons. The record is from RefSeq and is a predicted model, not a curated record. NCBI's taxonomy places the organism in Eukaryota, Metazoa, Arthropoda, Malacostraca, Decapoda, Varunidae.
GUGACACAGUGAGGGUCAGUCACUUAGCGCCGCGUCGUCACGCUAACAAGUGCUCCCUUGAAGAAAGCCAGACCCGCCCGAGGUGUUGGUGAAGGCAUUGCAGGAAAUACGAGUAGUAAAUUAGUGGUUGAAUGUGCUGGUAAGUCAAUUUGUUGGUGAUUGUUGAUAACAAGAUACAGUAAGAGAAAUUUUGCAGUGUUUUGAAGGUGAAGAAUUAAAUUAUAACGGGAAAAAGUGUGUGAACGCAGAACGCAAAGAGACCAGACUUUCCUGUGGUCGUAAAAAAUAUAAAAAAGAUUGAGGAGACAAAAUACAAAAAAGAGAAAAGAAAAUAACAAAGAGGAAGAAAAAGACAGAAAAAGGAGAAGAAAAAAAGAGAAGAAAGGAAGACUUAGACUUUGGAAGAGAGGAAACGGGAGUGAAAUAAAAAGUGGAGACAAAAAAGAAAGAAAAAAACAAAAAAGGGAAGAAAAAAGGCGAAAAAAAAGACACAAAAAGGGAGACUAAAACAAAAAAUAGAAGAAGGGAAGAAAGGAAAAGAAGAGUGAAAACGGGAAUGAAAUAAAAAGUGGAGACGAA